This 420-nucleotide ribosomal RNA is filed under the name uncultured microorganism. RNAcentral describes it as "bacterial SSU rRNA". It matches the Rfam family "Bacterial small subunit ribosomal RNA", at positions 9 to 428 of the family's 1533-position model. The record is from RNAcentral.
GAGUUUGAUCCUGGCUCAGAUUGAACGCUGGCGGCAUGCCUUACACAUGCAAGUCGAACGGCAGCAUGAUCUAGCUUGCUAGAUUGAUGGCGAGUGGCGAACGGGUGAGUAAUACAUCGGAACGUGCCCUGUAGUGGGGGAUAACUAGUCGAAAGAUUAGCUAAUACCGCAUACGACCUGAGGGUGAAAGUGGGGGACCGCAAGGCCUCAUGCUAUAGGAGCGGCCGAUGUCUGAUUAGCUAGUUGGUGGGGUAAAGGCCCACCAAGGCGACGAUCAGUAGCUGGUCUGAGAGGACGAUCAGCCACACUGGGACUGAGACACGGCCCAGACUCCUACGGGAGGCAGCAGUGGGGAAUUUGGACAAUGGGCGAAAGCCUGAUCCAGCAAUGCCGCGUGUGUGAAGAAGGCCUCGGUUGUAA